Molecule: ribosomal RNA, 482 nt
Filed under: uncultured bacterium
Lineage: Bacteria
Description: partial 16S ribosomal RNA
Rfam family: Bacterial small subunit ribosomal RNA
Source: RNAcentral
AUUGAACGCUGGCGGCAUGCCUUACACAUGCCAGUCGAACGGUAACGGGCCUUCGGGUGCCGACGAGUGGCGAACGGGUGAGUAAUACAUCGGAACGUGCCCGAUCGUGGGGGAUAACGAGGCGAAAGCUUUGCUAAUACCGCAUACGAUCUACGGAUGAAAGCAGGGGACCGCAAGGCCUUGCGCGGACGGAGCGGCCGAUGGCAGAUUAGGUAGUUGGUGGGAUAAAAGCUUACCAAGCCGACGAUCUGUAGCUGGUCUGAGAGGAUGAUCAGCCACACUGGGACUGAGACACGGCCCAGACCCCUACGGGAGGCAGCAGUGGGGAAUUUUGGACAAUGGGCGCAAGCCUGAUCCAGCCAUGCCGCGUGCAGGAUGAAGGCCUUCGGGUUGUAAACUGCUUUUGAACGGAACGAAAAGCCUUCUUUUAAUACAGGAGGGUCAUGACGGUACCGUAAGAAUAAGCACCGGCUAACUACGUG